This 984-nucleotide long non-coding RNA is filed under the name Pan paniscus (pygmy chimpanzee). RNAcentral's name for it is "lncRNA (ENSPPAG00000044722.1)". The record is from RNAcentral. Lineage: Eukaryota; Metazoa; Chordata; Mammalia; Primates; Hominidae.
CAGGAGGCAUUAAAAAUUAAACAAGAGAAGAGUCGAUCAGCUUCCAAUCUCGGGUUUAUAGACAGGAAAAUGCUUAAUGACAGGUGGUCUCUGUACCAGAGGUGGCCUCUGAGAGACAUUUCUCUUGAUUUUAUUUUUUAAUUAACUUUUAUUUUCAGUAUUUUGUCCCCCUUUUCUGCCCCCAAUGGAAUAAUAUUUAAAUGAUAAAAGGCUCACCGCUGUUUCCAGAGCAGCCCAGACCACCUCUCCACCCAGCUGCAAGGGGAGGGAAUCUUUAAAGAUCACUCUGUUUUGGAAUUCUACUGUUGCCAAGUGGCACACAUGGAUUCUCAUCAUAUGGCUCCCAACUGCAGUUCUUUAAGCUAAAGAGUGCAGUUCUUCACCGCUUCCUUGUGACAGUCUCCUAAUUACCCAUUCUGAGCCCUCUGAAACAGCAUUCCUCCUAGUUAAGGAUCUCUGCCAUCACCGCAAGACACCAGCACACCACAUGUGCUAAAGUGGAUUUCUUAUCCUGCUCCAAGUUAGCCAAGAGCGUCUGUACAACCACUGGGAAGUCAACUUCACUUCAGAUCUCGCCUGCACCUCUCCACUCUAUGGUCUGCCCAGGAGCUAAUGGAUUUGGAGAUGUAGCAGACCUGGAGCUAAUUCUAUCCUGCUGCUUAUUAGUGAGGCAGUCUUGGGCAGAGAGAACACUGACUCAGUUGAAAGUGCUCAGAAAGUCUUGACCUCAUAGAAUUCUUGCAAGUAUUAAAUGAGAAAAUGAAUAUAAAAGACUCAGCAGAGCACGUGACAUAAAGUAAGGACUAAAGAAAGAGAGGAUGUUGUUGCUACAAAUAUCACUACCUCCAGUUGUCAAAAUCCUUUCAUCAUGUCAAAAGUUAAUCCAAAUGCAACCUCCAAGGUUAAUGUAUUUGGAAGCGCUCUUUCCCCUCUGAACUGUAGAGCUAAAUUGCAUAGAGGGGAUUUCUCACAUAUAGCUAUUCC